CCUACGGGUGGCAGCAGUGGGGAAUAUUGGACAAUGGGCGCAAGCCUGAUCCAGCAAUACCGCGUGUGUGAAGAAGGCCUGAGGGUUGUAAAGCACUUUUAAUAGGGAGGAACACCUGUAGGCUAAUACCCUGCAGUAUGACAUUACCUAUAGAAAAAGCACCGGCUAACUCCGUGCCAGCAGCCGCGGUAAUACGGAGGGUGCAAGCGUUGAUCGGAAUUUGUGGGCGUAAAGAGUUCGUAGGCGGGUAAAAGCCCCGGGCUUAACCUGGGAACUGCAUUUGAUACUGGGUAACUCGAGUUUAGUAGAGGAGAGUGGAAUUUCAGGUGUAGCGGUGAAAUGCGUAGAGAUCUGAAGGAACACCAGUGGCGAAGGCGACUCUCUGGACUAAAACUGACGCUGAGGUACGAAAGCGUGGGUAGCAAACAGGAUUAGAUACCCCAGUAGUC
This 449-nucleotide ribosomal RNA is filed under the name uncultured bacterium. Its description in RNAcentral is "partial 16S ribosomal RNA". It matches the Rfam family "Bacterial small subunit ribosomal RNA", at positions 338 to 795 of the family's 1533-position model. The record is from RNAcentral.